Molecule: unclassified non-coding RNA, 685 nt
Filed under: Hevea brasiliensis (rubber tree)
Lineage: Eukaryota; Viridiplantae; Streptophyta; Magnoliopsida; Malpighiales; Euphorbiaceae
Source: RNAcentral
GUGGAGGAAUGAGCAGUUUUGGGUGAUCGGUGGUACCUCCGCCCAUCUAUUUGCUGUGUUCCAGGGACUGCUGAAGGUGCUUGCUGGGAUCGACACCAACUUCACCGUCACAUCCAAGGCAUCCGAUGAAGAUGGUGACUUCGCUGAGUUGUACGUAUUCAAGUGGACAACGCUUCUGAUCCCUCCAACAACAGUCUUGGUGGUGAACAUGGUGGGGAUAGUCGCAGGAGUCUCCUUCGCCGUCAACAGUGGGUACCAGUCGUGGGGCCCUCUCUUCGGGAAGCUCUUUUUCGCCAUUUGGGUGAUCGUCCAUCUCUAUCCGUUCCUCAAGGGUCUUUUGGGCAGAACUAACCGAACGCCCACUAUCGUUAUUGUAUGGUCCAUUCUCCUUGCUUCCAUCUUCUCGUUGCUGUGGGUGCGUAUCGAUCCCUUUACUUCUCCGAGCCAGAAGGCAGCUGUGGCUGGUCAGUGUGGUAUAAACUGCUGAGAGUUUGUUUGGAAAUGGUUUUCGCGCAUGUCUGAUGUGAAUGAAAGAACAUCAAGGGCUUGUUUUCAAUCAGAUGAAAGGAGUUCAUCAAUGCAGUUGGCAUUGUUGUGUUAGACUUGUAUGUCUCUUGUUGUAAGAUAGUGGAUAUCAGCAGUUUACAGACACUAUUGGGUGUUUCUUAGUGUAUGAUACUUGGGU